This 278-nucleotide long non-coding RNA is filed under the name Homo sapiens (human). Its description in RNAcentral is "non-protein coding lnc-NOMO2-3:1". The record is from RNAcentral. Lineage: Eukaryota; Metazoa; Chordata; Mammalia; Primates; Hominidae.
CGGCUGUGGAGGUGGCCUUCCUAGGUGGACCUUUGGGGAUGGGGAGCAGGCCCUCCACCAGUUCCAGCCUCCGUACAACGAGUCCUUCCCAGUUCCAGACCCCUCGGUGGCCCAGGUGCUGGUGGAGCACAAUGUCACGCACACCUACGCUGCCCCAGGUGAGUACGUCCUGACCGUGCUGGCAUCUAAUGCCUUCGAGAACCGGAUGCAGCAGGUGCCUGUGAGCGUGCGCGCCUCCCUGCCCUCCGAGGCUGUGGGUGUGAGUGACGGCGUCCUGG